AGUGAACGCUGGCGGUAGGCCUAACACAUGCAAGUCGAACGGCAGUACAGUAAGAGCUUGCUCUUACGGGUGGCGAGUGGCGGACGGGUGAGGAAUACAUCGGAAUCUACUUUUUCGUGGGGGAUAACGUAGGGAAACUUACGCUAAUACCGCAUACGACCUACGGGUGAAAGCAGGGGAUCUUCGGACCUUGCGCGAUUGAAUGAGCCGAUGUCGGAUUAGCUAGUUGGCGGGGUAAAGGCCCACCAAGGCGACGAUCCGUAGCUGGUCUGAGAGGAUGAACGCCAAAACGGGAAAGGAGACAGGGCCCAGACCCCGAGGGGAGGCAGCGGUGGGGAAUUUUGGACAAUGGGGGAAACCCGAAUCCAGCCAUACCGGGUGGGUGAAGAAGGCCUUCGGGUUGUAAAGCCCUUUUGUUGGGAAAAAAAAGCAGCAGGUUAAUACCCCGCUGUUUUGACGGUACCCAAAAAAUAAGCCCCGGUAAACUUCGU
This 491-nucleotide ribosomal RNA is filed under the name uncultured bacterium. Its description in RNAcentral is "partial 16S ribosomal RNA". It matches the Rfam family "Bacterial small subunit ribosomal RNA", at positions 29 to 506 of the family's 1533-position model. The record is from RNAcentral.